CCGAUGAGGUGGAAACGGACAGAGCUGGCGUAUCUGGCCUGCAUUCAGCCGCCACGCGUCGGGCCCCGGUUUGCCGCACUCCAGAUUGGGAAGGUGGCUGGGCUGCUGGCGUGCUGGUGGUGCAUUUGCAGGUGGAGUGCGCUGAGGCGCUCGGCUCAGCGGCAUGAGCUCGGCUUUGAGGCCAACCGCGCAAGCGGUCUGGUACCCGGGUCGGGGGAGUGUUGUUUGGGCUGAGUGUUCGCUUGGGCACUGGUUUCGGGCCCGGGUGGGUGCCGAGCUGGCGGUCGACGGCGGUCGCAUGCGACACGUGUCAUCAGUCAGUUCGGUCCUGCUCGAGCUCUCGCGUGUCCGGCCUCGGUGUAAAAGCCGGUCAUCUGUCCGACCCGUCUUGAAACACGGACCAAGGAGUCUAGCGUGUGCGCGAGUCAUUGGGCGUUGAAAACCCAAAGGCGCAAUGAAAGUGAAGGUCUGCCUUGUGCAGCUGAUGUGUGAUCCUGGGCGCUGCGGUGCCUGGGCGCAACAUAGUCCCGUCCCGACUGCAUGCAGUGGGGCGGAGACAGAGCGUACGCGCUGAG
This 575-nucleotide ribosomal RNA is filed under the name Helicotylenchus paxilli. RNAcentral describes it as "eukaryotic LSU rRNA". It matches the Rfam family "Eukaryotic large subunit ribosomal RNA", at positions 405 to 813 of the family's 3401-position model. The record is from RNAcentral. Lineage: Eukaryota; Metazoa; Nematoda; Chromadorea; Rhabditida; Hoplolaimidae.